AAGCCUCCCAGCCGCCGCCACUCACUCUCCCUUGUUUUCUCGGGAGCUUGUCCCAUCACCGCUGAUUCCCUCCUUCAUCGGGAUCCCCAUCCCACCAACGACCACAGCCGAGCGCCUCCACCUUGCUUUUAGCGCCGCCCAACCAGAUCACAGCCUCCUUCUCCUCUUGCCCAGCCACCACACCCGCAGACUCGCUGCCGCGAGCCUCCUGUCCCGAUCGCGCAAGCCUCCUCAUUCCUCCAUCCCGCGCAGGAGCUCGUUCCCGAGCUCAGCUGCGUUCACGCCCGAUUACCGCGCUUCUGGAUUCCACCGACCCCGUGCAACACGAGCUCCCUCACAUGGUGCCCUUGUGCACUGGGCUCUUCAUCAACCCCUGCAUCGCCUGCAUCAAGCCGCCGCCGCGCCAGUCGCCAAACCAAGCCGCCGGAGCGCAGGACUCUCCCGCACCUCGUCGCCGAUCGGAAUCGUGCCUCCUCCGUCGUCCCCGCGCUGCACUCCGCUGUUGCUUCCCCUGCGACCCGAGAGCGUUGCCUCCUCUGCUUCGAUGCAGGAGAACGACGGCCUCGCUCGUGCGCACCUGCAGCGCCAGCAGGACUGUGCCGAUCCGCUGUCCCAAGGCCAAGCAGCCGGCUUGCCCUGCUCCUGCCUCCCCAGAUCACCGUUGCGCAGGCGCCCUUCGGUCCCCGCGCUGCCGGCGAGCUUCAUCAGGCCCCAGGUCGCGUGGCCAUCGCACUCUUCUUCCUGCUUUUCUGUUAUGCUCCUUCCUCCCUGAUAAAUCCCUCUCCCUCUCUUUCUUCAAGUGCACAGGAAGUGCUCUGCCGUCGUUGCUGUUCGCCGGAGCACCGGUGCCCCGAAUCCGCCGUGGCGCUGUCGUCCCGAGCUCCUCCCGCAUCCUUGCCUUGUCUGUGCAGCUGCGCCGCUGCCUGCCUUCGACCCCACUGCUCGAUCCCCUGCUUCAGGACCGAGACGACGAACGCUGCCGCCGCGCGUUGACCCGCGCCUGGGUCGCGUCCAACAUGCCAAGGCCCAGCGCGCCCCUCCUGCAGCCUCCCUUCCAAUCGGGCCAAGGCCCAUGGUUCCGAUAACGUCGCGUUUGUGAGGAUCUGUUCGACUACGUCCGUUUGUCUUCUUCAUGGACUCGUUCUUCUUUCUUGCGGGAUUUCAGCUUGCAGGUGCCGAUGAUACCGGUGCAGAUGACGCAACCCAGCUCAAGUGGGAGCUCGAUGAAGACCUUUUCGUUGUUGUGUUUCGUUUCCUUUUGAUCAGUAGUGGAGCCCAGUUGGGGCGAUCGGGGAUCUAGCAUUAGGGGUGGUCUUCUUUUAUUUUGGUUCAGUAGUUCGACCUUGAUUGUAUUCUGGAUGAUGUAAUGCUAUAUUUAUGUAUUGUGUGAAGUGGCGAUUGUAAGCCAACUCUUUAUCCCUCUCUUAUUUAGUACAUGGGAUGUGUAAAGAUUACCCCUCUUGCGACAUGCCUACUAUGCGGUUAUGCCUCUAAGUCGUGCUCCGGCACGUGGGAGAUAUAGCCGCAUCGUGGGUGUUACACGAGGGCACCUGUCCAGCCCCCUCGCGAGGGACACGAGAGAGGGUACAAGUCAAACAAAGAACCGAAGGCAGAAAUAGGGGCAGAAAUCGGAGGAACAAGAUCAACAAGUGACACCGGAAAGCAAAGUUUGAAUAAAGAGGGGCAAGCUAACUGCGGAAAGCAAAUGAAAAUCCGCGUCCGGCACCUAGUCUAGUCUUCUUGCCUUCUCACCAUCGCGGAGCUUUGCUGCCACUAGUCGUGGGAGGGAGCCCCCGAGGCUCGAGGUCGGCACUCCUGAGACUCCGGGGCGUGUACAGCCCCACUCAUUAUUAUGUGAGGAUUUCACGAGCGGAGAUUCUUCACACGCACUGGGCCUUGCUUCACAGGCAUUGGCCUUGCUUCAUG
RNAcentral lists this ribosomal RNA (1926 nucleotides) under Triticum aestivum (bread wheat). RNAcentral describes it as "partial small subunit ribosomal RNA". The record is from RNAcentral. Lineage: Eukaryota; Viridiplantae; Streptophyta; Magnoliopsida; Poales; Poaceae.